RNAcentral lists this unclassified non-coding RNA (204 nucleotides) under soil metagenome. RNAcentral describes it as "partial internal transcribed spacer 1". The record is from RNAcentral.
CCGAGUUAGGGUGUCAAACUUAUGCGCCCGACCUCCAACCCUUUGUCUACUUGACCUUAUGUUGCUUCGGCAGGCCCGCUGGUGUCCCUUUGGGGCCCGGCCGCCGGGGGUCCUCGUGGCCCCGGGUCCGCGGCCUGCCGAUGGCCCCUUCUUAAACUAUUGUUAAAACGUGUCGUCUGAGUUUACGAUUAAACAAUCAAAACA